Long non-coding RNA from Sinocyclocheilus anshuiensis, 685 nucleotides. RefSeq lists it as uncharacterized. The transcript is spliced from 5 exons. The record is from RefSeq and is a predicted model, not a curated record. NCBI's taxonomy places the organism in Eukaryota, Metazoa, Chordata, Actinopteri, Cypriniformes, Cyprinidae.
CACACAUUCACAUGUGAUUCUACACUCUUGGUUCUGUAUGGACUCGUUUCCCCUUACGAGAGGUGGAGAGUAUGAGAGGGGUGGGCUUCAGCGACUGUAUUAUAACAACUGAAUCACACUGAAUUAAGACUAACUUCAUGGCCAAGGUAAAUGCGGUAGACUUCCUGAACUUUUGACCGAUCGUCGCCUGCAUCAGAAGUAUUUCACUUUGCACCCGGCGUCUCCUCCUCAGCGUGGGUUUGAAUAGCACUAGUGUUCGGCUGCUGAAUGUAGGCCAAACGGCAUGAACACAAGCGCAAUAACUGAUUCGUAGGAGUGAAACGAGGAGAGGAGGAGAUAAACUUCCAAUUGAAGAGAGUUUAAUAACAAACUCAAAAAGGGCAGACAAAGUAGAACAAGUGACAUGGAAAUGCAGCAUGAUCCAGAUUUGCAGUUUAAACUGGCUUAUUCAGAUUCAGAAAGAAUUGACGCAGGCAUUAAAACCCGAGCAAGAGGCCAGUGGUCCAGUAAAGUGGAGUUUAUCUUAGCCGUUGCUGGCCAAAUCAUUGGUUUGGGAAAUGUGUGGAGAUUUCCAUAUCUGUGUUACAAGAAUGGAGGAGGAGUGUUUUUCAUUCCAUAUAUGGUCUUUCUGUUUGCCUGCGGCAUUCCGCUUUUUCUUAUGGAGACUGCUUUGGGUCAGUACACC